Molecule: long non-coding RNA, 5570 nt
Organism: Diceros bicornis minor
Lineage: Eukaryota; Metazoa; Chordata; Mammalia; Perissodactyla; Rhinocerotidae
Exons: 7
Source: RefSeq, a predicted model, not a curated record
UUUAUGUAACUAUUUACAAAAGACCUGUGUCCUAGAUGCUUCUGUAAAAAAUAUAGAGCCAGCCAGGCAACAGAUCAACCUUGAUUUUUAUAUUAACAAAAGGGUGAAUGAAAUAUCAUCAUCCUGAAUUUUAACUGCCAUUUAUGAACUAAAUGGUUCUUCAGCAAGUAAAUCUAUAAGCUGCAAAGCAGUAGUGCCCACCACAAUGAGAACACAUUUCUUUUCAUAUGAAGAUAUUGACAUAUGAUUCAAUGUGGUAUUAUAAAUUAAGAUGUUAUAGAUAUAUAAUAUGUUGUGGGGAAGGACUUCUUAGAAAAAUAACAACAGUAUUACACAAAAUUUAGAAAGAUUGUAAAUAUUCCUGUCUAAAAAAUAUGAGUAUACACGACAUCUUUAAAUGUAACCCAUGUUAAACAUGAUUCAUAUUGUGUAGAGAGGAAAGGGGUUUAUAUCUUAAUUUCAAAUAUCUUGGAUUUCAGAGAAGAACAGCAUCAGGGAACCAAAAGACUAUCUUUUGUUUCAUCAGUGUUUAAUACUGAGAAAGAAGAUGGAAUAUAUUCUUUCUUUACUCUCUUCCCAACUACUUACAAACCCAGCCACAUAUCUCAAGCAAACAGAGUUUCACGUGAGCCUCUUCAUUGUUUCCAUCAUGCUCUCCAGCACACAUUCAAUCAGUCUCCUCUCCUAUUUUGGAAUAAGCAGUCAUGGAAUUUUGCUGAAAAUUUCUUGCUGUGCCUUCGAGAUUAAUUCUCUCCGUUAAGUGAACACGGAUGGAAAUAAUUAACCUUUCACUUGGUAUUAAUAGAAAAAAGUAGAAUUUCAGUAGCACUAAUCUACUUUAUAGGCUAUUACUUCUAUUGUCUCCAUCCCAUCUCUGUUCCCACAUGUGACCAUCUGGUUCACAGAAUGCAUCAGUUCGUUUGUGUCAUUUGCAUGACUAUGGGUCCAAAGAGCAUAAUAGGAGAUGAAGGAAACCUUGCACAUGUUGGAAGGAGAGAGCUGAGUUAUGUACCCCAGGAGUUCUCAUUUUGGUUAUUUUUGGAAAAUACAUGGUAUAUCACUCCUGGGCAAUGUGAUUGUUAAAUCACUGUUAUGACCUCAGAAAAGGAGUGUGGGUACAGAAAUUGGUGUAAAUGUGCUUAUAGUAUUGUAUGUUCCAAUAACGUGUGAGAUUUGAUAAGCAUUAAUACAACAUCCCCUGACUUUACUACACAUCUACUGUAAUCAUGGGAAAUGAAAUCUACAUAAUACGGUGCCUGACAUUAAGUAGUAGAUACCAUAAUCCUACCUUAUAUGGAAUCUUGAGGACCUCUUGGCUCCUGUAACCCUCUAUCAUAAGGAGCAAGAACUCUGGAUUGGGACCCAGAAAUCUGUGCUUUGACAAGCCCUGCAAAAGAUUCAGAUGCACGCUCGAGUUUGAGAGCCAUGACCAUAAGCCUUCAACUAUUAACUCCAAGUGAUGUUUCUUCCUAAUGUCUUAGAUCCACCUAUACUGUUUUUUAUUUCUAACCUCCUGUUCCUUUUGCUUUUCCAGAUAUUCAACACCUCUUCUGGGAAAACUGGAAUAAUCCCUAACAAAUUUUUCUGCUUUGAAUAUCCACUCCCCACCCUUGACUUUUUAGUCUUUCUUAAACAUCCCUUUCAUUAUGGUCUCUUACUUCAAACUCCCAGAGUAUUCCCACAGCCACCUGGCUGAAGUCCAGUUGUCCUAACUGUGUUCUUUAACACUCCACAUUGUACAAGCUUCUCACCUAACUUAACUUAUUUCUCCUUUCUGCCCAACUUGAUUCUCACUCUGAUGAGGCUUUUUUUUCUUAAUUUCAAUGUCAUUCCUUGCACAUAUUUUUCCUCUGUCCUUUUGUAUAUACUCUUCUUCCAAGUCUAAAUCAUUCUUUCUUAACCCUUUUCUAUUUUGAAAUCCUAAUCACUUUCAAAGUUCGCUUCCUUCAGGAAAACUUCCCCAUCACCACAUCACAAAUUGAUCUCUCCCUUAUUGUUCAUUUUUCUCCUCUGACAACUACUUAUACACUAUCUUGCAUUAUUGUGUACAUGUUGUCCCCAUGAACAAAAUUUCGAUUUCUACUUCUUUGUGUUUUCACCCAGUACCUUACAUGGCACAGACUUGUGUUCAGAAACUGCAUUGGACUUUGAAUAAUAACUCCAAAGUUUUGAAAAAUAGAUAAAAGGCUUGUCUUCAGCUAGACUAUUAUUCAGAUGAUUGUUUCUUGGUCAUAAUUCCUAUACUAAGUGAAAAUUACUACAGUGUUUUGGAUGAAGGUAACUGUGCAAUGAGAAGUUAUUCUCUGUAGAGGCAGGGGAGCUGUGAUCCCCAGUGGUAGUGAACAGCUCUGAGAAUGACUUAUUGGAUCAGGAAAAGGAAAAUGGGCACUGUUUUACAGUGUGUAAGGGAGUUGAAAAUAGUCCAGAGACACAAAGAUAGUGUUCUUUUUUUUUGUCAAUGAUAUUAAGACCAAAAAGGUAAAAAAGAAAAUUGAUCUCUUUCUGCUUGCCUUUGCUGCUGCAGAGGAAAUGUAUUUUGGAAAAGGAAAAAAUUACAUCAAAUAUAUAAGCCCUAUGAUAAAAGAAGUCCUGACUGUAGAUUCCAGACAAAGCCUGACUUGUCGUAUAAUGUUAGUCAAAUUACUUUGUGCUCUGAUUCGCAGUUUCCACCUAUCAAAUGAAGAUCAUAAUGCCUUUUCCUUGGGGUUAUUGUAAAAAUUCAGGGAGACAAUGUCUGUUCUUGGAUCAGAGUUUGGAAAACUAAAUCCUUGUCAUUCUGGGGCUAGUUUCAGGACAAGGUGUGAAGUGUAAGGCACUCAUCAUACCAGGGAACAUGACGGCCUUUAUUCCUAUAUUCUUCAACCCUCCCCUACUAUUGGAGCCCCAAGCUCACAGGAGCUAUGAAGAGAAGGAAGUUAAAUGCUUGAGCAGACACGAGGAAAACAGCAUGCCUCCACCUGUAUUAGGAAUGAUAGGUGUUCUCUCCGGGUCUCCCUGGAUACAGAAACACCAAGGUCCAUUUACUUUUAAAAGACAUCAUUGCAUAGUAUCUAUAGAUUUGCUGAGUGCCUGCCAUGUGCCAGGCAACAUGCUAGGUGCAUUCAUAUAUAUUAUCUCAUUUUUUCCUUGUCACAUUUCCACGAUGCUGGUAGCCCAAAGAGGAAAGUCGAAAAAAGGUAAGCAUAUUUCCUAGCAGAAGAACAGAUAUAUUUUUUACUUCAAAGAUGAUGUUCUUUCUACUCUACCAGGAUGCCAUUCUGAAUCCAGCAUGACCUAGCAGAAGGAGCCACAUGCAAGAGAAGGUCCUACCAAGACUUGAUGUUUUUAAGGUCCUUAUGAAAAGAGUUCCUUCAUGACUUACCUUCUGCAAAAGAGCAGGCAAUCCAUUCUAGAAGAGAUUAAUGGCCCAUUUAGAAAGGCUCAAUUGCUAUAAACACAGAGCAAGUCUUUUGUCCAGCUUCCAGAGAAGAUUGGGUCCAGGAGCUACUGCUGAUUACCAUGGAGCCUAUAGUGAGCUCGAUGUGGGGAUAAACCCACCUGGAUGAAAGAUUAUUAAGGGCAUUCCUUACUGCACCUGACACCAAGGGAAAUUUCAUCUGCAGUGGAGUCUUGGCACUGGGAAAGUGGCUCUCCUUGGAACUUGAGGAGGUCAUCAACUAAAGAAACAUAGCUUCAAAUAAACCCCAGUCUGUGGAAGGGCUCUAGACGGGGGAUGACAAUAAUAAUAAUGAUAAUAACAACUGGUAGCAUUUACCAAGUGUUUCUGUAAGUUCCAGGCAAAGUGCUCAACCCUUUAUGGACAUCCCCUCAUUCUGGUAACCCUAUUCAGUAGGUUCUAUAACUAUUCUUCUUUAUCACUUGAGGAAACUGAGGCCUAGAGAGGUUAAAACUCGCCCAAGAGCAAAUCUUGCCAAAACUAAGCUUGAAAAUGAUGGAAUCUGGAUUCAAAUUCCAGUCCAUCUGAACGUCAGAGCCCUCCAAUUCCUCUAUUACUUUCUACCGAGUGUAUAAGAGACCUAGUAGUAGAGUGAACAUAUAAUUUAGCAUCCAUUCUGGGACAUGUUUGAAAAUGAAACAAGGUAUUAUUGAUAAUUACACCAGGACAACAGGGCAAACUGGGAUGGAUAUAUGAACAUACUGCUUAAGAGACCUGACACCUGCCUGAGUGAUGAAAUGACAAAUCUGGAUCCACUCAGAUUUUAAUAUGGGUCAACUCAUCCCAGAUUUUAGUAGGAAAAUUUUCAAAGGAGAGACCACUACCCUCACGUAGGCAGCUUCUUCUCAUCUGCUUGACAUGAAUACCUACUUAAAAAGUUGGCAUCUGUUUGCCUUUGCCUAGUUUUUAGCACCUUUCUCUUCGUUUCAGUUUGUGCUGUCACAAGAAUUUUUUUCUUUAAUGAAGAACUUUUUGCUUUUAAAGUAUUUAUUGCCUUUUUAGCUUACAUUGUCAUUAGAAUGAGUUGUUUUAUUUUUGUUAAUGCCCUCGAGUGAAUUCCAGCUCUAGUGACCCUGUGUACGGCAGAGUGGGACCCUGCCUGGUCUUUUGCACCAUCCUCUUACCUUCUGGCGCUAUAUCAGACAAUGCCCUGUUGCUGUUCAUAGGGUUUUCAUGGCCGAUUUUUUCGGAAGUGAGUGGCCAGGUCCUUCUUCCUAGUCUAUCUUAGUCUGGAAGCUUGGCUGAAACCUGUCUACUGCGGGUGACCCUGCUGGUAUUUGAAAUACCAGCAGCAUAGCUUUCAGCAUCACAGCAACAUGCAGCCACCACAGCAUGACAACCGACAGACGGGUGGCGUGGUUCCCCAACUGGAAACGAAUCUGGGCCAUGGAGGUUUGGGAAUCAUGAAUAAAGCUGCUUUAAACAUCCAUGUGCAGGCUUUUGUGUAAACAUAAUUUUUCAUCUCAUUUGGGUAAUUACCAAGGAGCACCAUUGCUGGAUCAUACGUGAUUGUUCUGUAAAACAUAAAGCCUAUCCACAACUUAUUGAAGAAAACUUUAAGUUUUCCUUUUCUACAUUCUCCUUUCUACACAAGUGUAGCCCUCCACAGCUCUCAAGAGAAAGCCUGAGGUUUUACCGUGAUCUCUCCUUCACAAAGAGACUUCAAUUCCAAGUUUCAUCUCUUCAGAACUAUCAGUCAGACUCAUACCUUCAGCACUGGCGCAUUAAGUGGAUGGACUCAGGAAGAAGGGAAAAAGGAGGCCACUUGGACCAACAUUAGCCUCUACGAGAAGAGUCAUCCGCAGAAUCUAGACUAGUUCACCAGAUAUCUUAUUGGGGUUGGAGACUAAAUCCCUAAUGGGGUUUGUCCUCUGGAUACACACAUCCUUUGAAGACCUAAAGAAGUAGACGACCAUGGCAGGACCACAUGGGAAUCCAGGAUCCUCAGUAAUAUUCAGAUACUAAGCAUUGUAUAGCUAGAAUGGUAUAUUGGUAAAGAACAUGAAUUUGGGAGUUAAGCAGGCUUGAAACAGAAUCACAUCUUCACCACCACCUAGCUGUGUGGUCAUGGACAAGUUGUUUAUACUCACUCAUCUCAGCUUUCUCAUUUGUACAAUAAAUUGAUUAUAGUACC